RNAcentral lists this ribosomal RNA (292 nucleotides) under uncultured bacterium. RNAcentral's name for it is "partial 16S ribosomal RNA". It matches the Rfam family "Bacterial small subunit ribosomal RNA", at positions 505 to 796 of the family's 1533-position model. The record is from RNAcentral.
GUGUCAGCAGCCGCGGUAAUACGGGGGGGGCAAGCGUUGUUCGGAAUUACUGGGCGUAAAGGGCCAGUAGGCGGCCAACUAAGUCCGACGUGAAAUCCCAAGGCUUAACCUUGGAACUGCGUCGGAUACUGGAUGGCUUGAAUUCGGGAGAGGGAUGCAGAAUUCCAGGUGUAGCGGUGAAAUGCGUAGAUAUCUGGAGGAAUACCGGUGGCGAAGGCGGCAUCCUGGACCGAGAUUGACGCUGAACGGCGAAAGCUAGGGGAGCAAACGGGAUUAGAUACCCCAGUAGUCC